AUUUAUAUAGUUUAAUAAAACAAUACAUUUUCAUUGUAUAAUUAACAUUAUUAUGUUUAUAAAUA
This 65-nucleotide transfer RNA is filed under the name Comicus campestris. RNAcentral's name for it is "tRNA-Glu". The record is from RNAcentral. Lineage: Eukaryota; Metazoa; Arthropoda; Insecta; Orthoptera; Schizodactylidae.